This 313-nucleotide long non-coding RNA is filed under the name Homo sapiens (human). RNAcentral describes it as "non-protein coding lnc-ENTPD8-1:2". The record is from RNAcentral. Lineage: Eukaryota; Metazoa; Chordata; Mammalia; Primates; Hominidae.
CUCACACAGACGCCCCAUUCCCCUCAGCCCCAGGCAACGGUCACCGUCACCCACAAACCCCGUACCCCUCACACAGACGCCCCCAUUCCCCUCGGCCCCAGGCAACGGUCACCGUCACCCACAAACCCCGUACCCCUCACACAGACGCCCCAUUCCCCUCGGCCCCAGGCAACGGUCACCGUCACCCACAAACCCCGUACCCCUCACACAGACGCCCCCAUUCCCCUCGGCCCCAGGCAACGGUCACCGUCACCCACAAACCCUGUACCCCUCACACAGAUGCCCCAUUCCCCUCGGCCACAGGCAACGGUCA